CUUGAUUUUUCCAACAAUCUUAGGCAGAUCCACUGACCGUUUCUAGAGCAAGUGGUAAAGAAUUUGGUGAUUGGUAUUCGAGACCCAAAUUCGAAUUCUAGUUGAUUCACAUUUCUAGCUAAGUUUAUUUCUAAAUAAAAUAAAUGAAGCGGGUAGCGUGCUACCUAUUUCUCAAAAAAAAAAAAAAAAUCUUAAACAGAUCCGACUAUUUAUUUCAAAAUAUUGCCUAUGUUUUUUCAGCCAAAUUAUCCAUAUCAGAUCCCGGCCGCCGAAUUCAAAUCCUUCGUUCAAGUCUGGAAAGUUUUUAUUACAUUCAACCUCUUACAGAGAAUCUCCCCAUUCCCACUGGCUUAGUCUUUUAUAUCACUGUUAUUUAUUGACUUCCGCACUGCACGCAAAUUCAAUAACAAAUAUUUUUAAAACAUCAUUUAAUUCACUAUUAUAAGGUUAAUUUCGAACAACUCUAUUAUGUAAACAUAUCGAAUAAUAAAUAAUACAGAACUUUUACAGAAUUAUCUUUGUAAAUGUUCAGGAAUAUUCAUAUUUGUCCCUUUGAUUAGAAUACUAUUUAUUUUUUAGCAAAAAAAUAAGUAAAAUAAUAUUUUUGCAAUUACAAAUAUAUCUCUCCAAAAGUUUCAACUGUCAGAAUUAUAUAUAUAGAAUGUCAUUUCAAAAUCUCGGUGAUUAAUUAUAUCGUUUUAACAAAUAGAAUUGAUACAUUUGAAAAUGUUAGAAUUUUUACGUAAUAAAUAUAAGAAGUUGAAUCUUGUGAAAAUAUAUUUGUAAAAUUUUAUAUGUAAUUAACUAAUUAUAAAAUUAUUAUUAAUUAACGG
RNAcentral lists this long non-coding RNA (833 nucleotides) under Ananas comosus (pineapple). Its description in RNAcentral is "long non-coding RNA (ACOM_LNC019117)". The record is from RNAcentral. Lineage: Eukaryota; Viridiplantae; Streptophyta; Magnoliopsida; Poales; Bromeliaceae.